RNAcentral lists this ribosomal RNA (254 nucleotides) under uncultured bacterium. RNAcentral's name for it is "partial 16S ribosomal RNA". It matches the Rfam family "Bacterial small subunit ribosomal RNA", at positions 524 to 776 of the family's 1533-position model. The record is from RNAcentral.
CACGUAGGGUGCGAGCGUUGUCCGGAAUUAUUGGGCGUAAAGAGCUCGUAGGCGGUGUGUCGCGUCGGCCGUGAAAACCUGCAGCUUAACUGUGGGCUUGCGGUCGAUACGGGCAUCACUGGAGUUCGGCAGGGGAGACUGGAAUUCCUGAUGUAGCGGUGAAAUGCGCAGAUAUCAGGAGGAACACCGGUGGCGAAGGCGGGUCUCUGGGCCGUAACUGACGCUGAGGAGCGAAAGCGUGGGGAGCGAACAGG